GCUCUGGUGGCCUAGUGGUUAGAGCAUCUGCCUCGGAUGACAGAGGUCGUGGGUUCAAACCCAGGCCAAGUCA
Molecule: non-coding RNA, 73 nt
Organism: Potamilus streckersoni
Lineage: Eukaryota; Metazoa; Mollusca; Bivalvia; Unionida; Unionidae
Source: the annotation of a GenBank genome assembly